GAUGAACGCUGGCGGCGUGCCUAAUACAUGCAAGUCGAGCGAACGGACGAGAAGCUUGCUUCUCUGAUGUUAGCGGCGGACGGGUGAGUAACACGUGGAUAACCUACCUAUAAGACUGGGAUAACUUCGGGAAACCGGAGCUAAUACCGGAUAAUAUUUUGAACCGCAUGGUUCAAAAGUGAAAGACGGUCUUGCUGUCACUUAUAGAUGGAUCCGCGCUGCAUUAGCUAGUUGGUAAGGUAACGGCUUACCAAGGCAACGAUGCAUAGCCGACCUGAGAGGGUGAUCGGCCACACUGGAACUGAGACACGGUCCAGACUCCUACGGGAGGCAGCAGUAGGGAAUCUUCCGCAAUGGGCGAAAGCCUGACGGAGCAACGCCGCGUGAGUGAUGAAGGUCUUCGGAUCGUAAAACUCUGUUAUUAGGGAAGAACAUAUGUGUAAGUAACUGUGCACAUCUUGACGGUACCUAAUCAGAAAGCCACGGCUAACUACGUGCCAGCAGCCGCGGUAAUACGUAGGUGGCAAGCGUUAUCCGGAAUUAUUGGGCGUAAAGCGCGCGUAGGCGGUUUUUUAAGUCUGAUGUGAAAGCCCACGGCUCAACCGUGGAGGGUCAUUGGAAACUGGAAAACUUGAGUGCAGAAGAGGAAAGUGGAAUUCCAUGUGUAGCGGUGAAAUGCGCAGAGAUAUGGAGGAACACCAGUGGCGAAGGCGACUUUCUGGUCUGUAACUGACGCUGAUGUGCGAAAGCGUGGGGAUCAAACAGGAUUAGAUACCCUGGUAGUCCACGCCGUAAACGAUGAGUGCUAAGUGUUAGGGGGUUUCCGCCCCUUAGUGCUGCAGCUAACGCAUUAAGCACUCCGCCUGGGGAGUACGACCGCAAGGUUGAAACUCAAAGGAAUUGACGGGGACCCGCACAAGCGGUGGAGCAUGUGGUUUAAUUCGAGGCAACGCGAAGGACCUUACCAAAUCUUGACAUCCUUUGACAACUCUAGAGAUAGAGCCUUCCCCUUCGGGGGACAAAGUGACAGGUGGUGCAUGGUUGUCGUCAGCUCGUGUCGUGAGAUGUUGGGUUAAGUCCCGCAACGAGCGCAACCCUUAAGCUUAGUUGCCAUCAUUAAGUUGGGCACUCUAAGUUGACUGCCGGUGACAAACCGGAGGAAGGUGGGGAUGACGUCAAAUCAUCAUGCCCCUUAUGAUUUGGGCUACACACGUGCUACAAUGGACAAUACAAAGGGCAGCGAAACCGCGAGGUCAAGCAAAUCCCAUAAAGUUGUUCUCAGUUCGGAUUGUAGUCUGCAACUCGACUACAUGAAGCUGGAAUCGCUAGUAAUCGUAGAUCAGCAUGCUACGGUGAAUACGUUCCCGGGUCU
RNAcentral lists this ribosomal RNA (1372 nucleotides) under uncultured bacterium. RNAcentral's name for it is "bacterial SSU rRNA". It matches the Rfam family "Bacterial small subunit ribosomal RNA", at positions 28 to 1381 of the family's 1533-position model. The record is from RNAcentral.